UCAAGAAUUAGCCACCAAAAAAGACACAAUGACAUUUGAGAAAAAUCUAUUUCAUAUUUAUUAUAAGAUGUUACAUUUAGUUUUCUUUCUCUAGCAGCACUAUUUAAAUUACAGAUAUUCAAGGGCAGUUACCACUGAUCAGUUUCUCUUAAUGCAAGAUGUCAGUGUGUAAACAAAGACAGAACCAUAAAUUAAAAAGUACCAGAACUCAGCACGUUUGUGACGUGAAGAUAAAGAACAAUAAACCAACAAGUCUGGAUUUGAAAUAAAACAGACAAGGAAUGGAAUAAAAAUAAAACAAAAACAAUCCAGUUCAAAUAAAUGACAACAAACAGCUUCUUUUUGGAGCAUUACAGGUUGUCGCCUUUUUACUGGACAACAUGCCUCAAAGCGCUCCAUGCAGUUUACAAAAUCUUGAAAAAAAAUUCAAAAUGAGCAACUGAAGUACAUCAUAAGUGCAUUCGGACGACCCGUAGAGACAACACAACGUAAAAAGAAGGCAAAUACAAAAUGUGUUGAAAAGAAACAUUUAACAUAAUGAUUUUACACUUCAACAACUCGUCUGACCCAUUUACAAAGAAAGAAAAACUUGAUUAUUUGGCACAUUCUGUCGACCAAAGAAGAAUUAUGGAGACAAUUCAACCUUUGUCUUUUUUUUCCUGCCAUUGGUUGGAAAAUACUUUUUUUUUUUUUUGAAAGAUGCUCUGUAGCA
Thalassophryne amazonica is the source of this 712-nucleotide long non-coding RNA. RefSeq lists it as uncharacterized. The record is from RefSeq and is a predicted model, not a curated record. NCBI's taxonomy places the organism in Eukaryota, Metazoa, Chordata, Actinopteri, Batrachoidiformes, Batrachoididae. The transcript has 3 exons.